GACGAACGCUGGCGGCGUGCCUAACACAUGCAAGUCGAACGGAAGUAAGAGCUUCGGUUUUACUUUAGUGGCGAACGGGUGAGUAACGCGUGAGGAACCUGCCUCAAAGAGGGGGACAACAGUUGGAAACGACUGCUAAUACCGCAUAAGCGCACAGUACCGUAUGGUACGGUGUGAAAAACUCCGGUGGUAUGAGAUGGACCCGCGUCUGAUUAGGUAGUUGGUGGGGUAACGGCCUACCAAGCCGACGAUCAGUAGCCGACCUGAGAGGGUGACCGGCCACAUUGGGACUGAGACACGGCCCUU
RNAcentral lists this ribosomal RNA (306 nucleotides) under uncultured bacterium. Its description in RNAcentral is "bacterial SSU rRNA". It matches the Rfam family "Bacterial small subunit ribosomal RNA", at positions 28 to 334 of the family's 1533-position model. The record is from RNAcentral.